Molecule: small nucleolar RNA, 84 nt
Filed under: Gossypium hirsutum (cotton)
Lineage: Eukaryota; Viridiplantae; Streptophyta; Magnoliopsida; Malvales; Malvaceae
Description: Plant small nucleolar RNA R71
Rfam family: Plant small nucleolar RNA R71
About the family: R71 is a member of the C/D box family of snoRNAs containing the C (UGAUGA) and D (CUGA) box motifs. Multiple nearly identical copies of this snoRNA have been identified in Arabidopsis, and it is thought to function as a 2'-O-ribose methylation guide for 18S ribosomal RNA.
Source: Rfam by way of RNAcentral
ACUGGUGUAAUAACUCCUUGAACCGCUCCUAUGCCUCAUAUAAAGAUUCUUCAUCAAGUUACUGAAAUGAAGUGAUUUCAUUUC